Molecule: ribosomal RNA, 695 nt
Filed under: uncultured Bacillota bacterium
Lineage: Bacteria; Bacillati; Bacillota
Description: bacterial SSU rRNA
Rfam family: Bacterial small subunit ribosomal RNA
Source: RNAcentral
GGAUCCAGACUUUGAUUAUGGCUCAGGAUGAACGCUAGCUACAGGCUUAACACAUGCAAGUCGAGGGGCAGCAUGAACUUAGCUUGCUAAGUUUAAUGGCGACCGGCGCACGGGUGAGUAACACGUAUCCAACCUUCCGUUUACUCAGGGAUAGCCUUUCGAAAGAAAGAUUAAUACCUGAUAGUAUGGUGAGAUUGCAUGAUAGCACCAUUAAAGAUUUAUUGGUAAACGAUGGGGAUGCGUUCCAUUAGGUAGUAGGCGGGGUAACGGCCCACCUAGCCGACGAUGGAUAGGGGUUCUGAGAGGAAGGUCCCCCACAUUGGAACUGAGACACGGUCCAAACUCCUACGGGAGGCAGCAGUGAGGAAUAUUGGUCAAUGGGCGAGAGCCUGAACCAGCCAAGUAGCGUGAAGGAUGAAGGUCCUACGGAUUGUAAACUUCUUUUAUACGGGAAUAAAGUAUCCUACGUGUAGGAUUUUGUAUGUACCGUAUGAAUAAGCAUCGGCUAACUCCGUGCCAGCAGCCGCGGUAAUACGGAGGAUGCGAGCGUUAUCCGGAUUUAUUGGGUUUAAAGGGAGCGCAGACGGGAGAUUAAGUCAGUUGUGAAAGUUUGCGGCUCAACCGUAAAAUUGCAGUUGAUACUGGUUUCCUUGAGUGCAGUUGAGGCAGGCGGAAUUCGUGGUGUAGCGGUGAAA